This 1726-nucleotide long non-coding RNA is filed under the name Sus scrofa (pig). RNAcentral describes it as "lncRNA (ENSSSCG00055001412.1)". Lineage: Eukaryota; Metazoa; Chordata; Mammalia; Artiodactyla; Suidae. The record is from RNAcentral.
UAUGUGACCCACUUGAAAGGCAGGGCAAGAUGAGUGUAAAUUGGAAGAGAGUAUAAAAGGCAAUGAGGGAGAAGAAAUAACAGUGGAAAUUCACUCCCGGCUGGAUACAAGAUGGGAUGACCUGGGGACACUGUGUGCCUCUGGAGGUGCUGUGCCAGGGCAGGGAGCUGGUGUGUGUGGUUGUAACAGCUUCUGAUGUGCUGCGUGAUUCAGUUAUACAUACAUGAAUUCUUUUUCAUGUUCUUUUCCUUUGUGGUUUAUCAAAGGAUAUUGAGUGUCGUUCUUUGCAGAGAUAAAAGUGGCUUGGUCCAGACGGGCAGCCGUGGAGACAGGGACAAAUUAUAAGGGUUGCGUUUGGAAAGCUGACCUCUAGGAUUUGCUGAGAGAAUGCAGUUUGGGGCUUGGGAAAGGGGGGAGGAUUCAAGAACAGCUCCCAGGUUUGGGCUUUGCUAAGUGGCUGGUGGGUAUCUUUCCCACGAUGGGGAAGACGGAAGGUGAAGGGGGGGCAGGGCUGGGAGAAACCUAGAGUUCAGCUUGCAGGUUGGGAGGUGUGAAAUACCCUCCAGUGAGCUGUGCUGAAUGUCUUCCAUCUGACCCUCUCAAUAACUCUCCCUUGCUUUCCAUCAGGCUCUGAAUGAUAGGAGACAGACAAUGGCUCAGUGGGCCUCCUCGCCCUCUGUCUUCCAGUUGGUUCUCCAAAAGAAAAGUCCAGAACAUGGGAGAGUGGAAGCAGGCUGUGUACUGCCCUGGCUCUUUUCCUGUUGUCCUGCAAGUGUAGACUCCAUUCCUCCUCCAGGGGCCCUAGUUUUUGAGGCAGAUCCAUUCCUCCGCUACUGUCUCUAUCACUGCACGUGGCCCUUCUCUUUCCUUUAACCCUCUCAGGCUGAGGAUGUAAGUAUCAUCAACCUCUUGUCCCUUGUUGGGUUUUUUCCUGAACGCUGCCUGUGCUGUUGUCCUUUUAUUUUUUUUUUAAAAAAAUGCUUAAGUGACCUAAAUCUUCACAAAUUUGAUCAUCAUACACAAGUUUUUGCUGCCAGGUACCUGAGGGAUACAAGAGGGACCUGGAAAGGGCAGCAGACCCUCAGAGCAGUGGGGAAUUAGAGCAAGGAGGUAAGCCCCAAGUUCAAGGUUGAAGGGUCCUGUGUUUAUCAGUGGCACUGCAAGUCAUAACACUGGGUUAGCUCAUCCUGGUAAAUUUUUCCUGACCCCUUCGGAACCCCUUACAACAGGGCUCAGUGCUUUUUCUCUGGCCAGGGAAUGAGCACAGGGGCCCACUCCCUUCCUUCCCGUCUUCUUCCUCAGCGCCUCUAACAAAGACAGUGUCAGGCUAUUCGCCGCGUUCCCCUCCCAAACUGCCAUUUCAAGUCAGAGUUUUACCAAAGUCAUUAUCUCUUUAAUUUGCUCCCCAAGAUAUUAGCUCACAAACAAGUGGCGCCUGCGAAUGGGAUUGAGCUGUGUGUUUUUGUCUGCUUUGUUUUCAAAUGCAUUUUUCUUCUUGAGGGCAGUGGUUGCAUUGACAAAAUUCCAUCUGGGAUUGGAGUUUCCAUCGUGGCGCAGGGGAAACGAAUCCGACUAGGAGCCAUCAGGUUGCAGGAUUGAUCCCUGGCUGCGCUCAGUGGGUUAAGGAUCUGGCAUUGCCGUGGCUGUGGCAUAGGCUGGCAGCUGCAGCUCUGAUUAGACCCCUAGCCUGGGAACCUCCAUAUGCCAUGGGUGCGGCCCUAAAAAG